Molecule: long non-coding RNA, 4474 nt
Filed under: Homo sapiens (human)
Lineage: Eukaryota; Metazoa; Chordata; Mammalia; Primates; Hominidae
Description: HSALNT0031888
Source: RNAcentral
GUGGCUCACGCCUGUAAUCCCAGCUCUUUGGGAGGCCAAGGCGGGUGGAUCACGAGAUCAGGAGAUCUAGACCACCCUGGAUAACACGGUGAAACCCCGUCUCUACUAAAAAUACAAAAUAUUAGCCGGGCGUGGUGUCGGGUACCUGUAGUCCCAGCUACUCGGGAGGCUGAGGUGGGAGAAUGGCGUGAACCCAGGAGGCGGAGCUUGCAGUGAGCCAAGAUAGCACCACUGCACUCCAGCCUGACGGCAUAGCGAGACUCUGUCUCAAAAAAAAAAAAAAAAAAAAAUUAACAUCACCUUCCACCAUGUGAUGUUGUAGCACCUCCCCUACAGGGGGCAGUUUUUCUCCCCUCCCUACUGGUAUUGAAAAUCAUAUUGCAAGCAUAUGACUUGCUGUACUAACGCAUGUGUGUGCACCUGACAGUGUACCCCUUCUCUGAAGAGGUCUCAAAAGGCGUCUGUCUGCCCACUCACCCGUCUGUUCUUUCCACGCUUCACCAGGAGAAGAGCUAACCUUGGGUAGCUGCUGUUCCUUCAGUCUGAGCCACACACUCAGCCACCCCAGCCAACCUGAAGAUCUGCAGCAUGAAGCAGAGCUAUGCUCACAGACUCACAGAUCUGUGUGUGAGAAAACAAGACUGUUGUUUAAGCUACCGACUUUUGGGGAGAUUUAUUGUGCAGCAUUACUAAUGCAAUAGUUAGCAGAUACAACUCCCCUGCCUAAAUCCCUUUGGGGGCAUCUCAGCACCUUUCUGUGGAGUGAAGCUACAUUUCUUAGCAGAGCAUGUAAGAUGGACACAGUCUGAUGCUUGCUUACUUUUUCAGCUCCAACUCCUACCAUACUUUGCCUGCCUCAUAUUUCAUACUUUUUCAGUUCUAAACUGCCUUGUAGCUCCCUGUCAGCAUUCAAUAUACCUCCGUACCACACUGAUGCUCUUUUCUCAUGCAUGAAAUGCCUUCCUUGCCUUAUCCUUCUGAAUAACUUCCAACCAGAUCCUUCAAAAGGCAUCAUCUUAUCCAGAGUGCUGGCAUCAGCCCACAUUUCCCUGGCAGAGGCAAAGUUUGUUCCCCCAGGUACUAUGGCAGAAAUGGCCAGGGAAGGGUUUAUCUAACCACCAGGAGUACGCAAAGAAGAGAGGUCCAGCCAGCCUGCCUCUCAGAUUGUUAAGAUGCCAGGUGUCUUUUGGCUCAUGGAAACAGCUGUUCUGCCCCCUCCCGAACCCUAGACUCACAGCUACACUCUAUGGGUGGGACCAAAAUGCAAUUGCAUAUUUCUUUAUAAGCAGGAGAUUUCACAAAGAAAAGGAGAAGGCAAGAACCACAGAGGCAAAGAUUGGAGAGAUGUGGCUGCAAGUCAGGCAGUAUCUAGCUGCCACUAGAUACUGGAAGAGUCAAGGAAUGGACUCUCCCUGGAGACUCCAGAGAAAACCUAGCCCUUCUGACUCCUUGAUUGUUGCCUUAUAAGACUCAUUUCAGACUUUAGGCUGCGUAUGAGAGAAUAAAUUUCUGUUGUUUUAAGCCACAAAGUUUGUGACCACAAUAAUAAUAUAGCACCAUUUAUAACAAAGCACUAUGUUUUUAUCUGUAUUAGUAUAGUUAUCACCGUCUUUCUUACUUUAUACCUGGUGGAUACCUAUUGAUUUUCUUUUUAGAGGGCAGGGAUCUGUCUUAUUCAUGAGUGAAUACUCUGCUGCACCUGGGAACUAAAGUGUUUGCCAUAGGAGUGCAGUAAAGUUUGUUCAAAUGGAUCUGAAGCUCAGUCUCUGUGGUGCCCAUAUUCUUGUGUGCAUACAGGGAAAGGACAAAGGGAAGGCUGCUUCCUGAAGAGAUCUCCAUAUGGAAGAGCUGCAGAUCACAAACAACCCACACAGCCAUUGUAACGCCUGCUUGCCUGGUCACUUGUGUUUCUGAGAAGCCAUAACUCCAAGAAUAGCGAAGGGAAGAAAAUGCCAAAAAGCAGGGGCUGCCUAACAGGUCUGACUUGCAAGGCAAACUCCUGGCAGGCCUGGCCAGCUUCUGCUUGUCCCAGUGCAAUCCCACCCCCAUAGGAUCUGGAAUUUUUCAGUCCCUUUGCUAAGAUUCCUGAAAUAGACUUAAUGAAGAGCCUCAGAAGUGAAAAUUCCUCUUCACACAUUUGCUCAAGAAGAUUGCUUUUCUCCUAACACAGAAAUCAGCUGCCUUGAGGAUGUGCAAGUUUGAUUAGGGAGUCUGCUCUUGCCUAUUUCUCAAACGGUUCAGGCCCUGACAGAAUCAGUGUCACCCCUAAGAAUGAAACCUUCCAAGGGGCCAUGAUCAUAUUGUGACUGGACAAGAACUAUCAUGGAUGAGGCACAUCAUCUUUUGGAACCAUCUAUGGAACAGAUAUUAUUAUUCCAUUUUGCGGAAGAGGAAUCUGAGGCUCAGGCCAGACAGAUGCAGCUAACGUUGAGUGGCAUCCUGAUGAUCACCUUCAUCACAAAAGGAAGGAGUGCUCUGAGGACUGUAGGUGGCUCUCAGAACCCUGACCUCCACGGCAGCCAUCAAGGAGUGGCAAAGGGGGUCCACAGUGGCAUAUGCAGUGAGAUCCAAGUUUUAGGCAUUCGGAGUAGAGCAAGCCACGAAUGAGAACAGGUUCUGAAAGUGACAGAAAAGGAGUCACUUUUUUGGUUCCAUAUGAACUUUAAGGUAGUUUUUUCCCAGUUCUGUGAAGAAAGUCAUUGGUAGCUUGAUGGGGAUGGCAUUGAAUCUAUAAAUUACCUUGGACAGUAUGGCCAUUUUCAUGAUAUUGAUUCUUCCUACCCAUGAGCAUGGAAUGUUCUUCCAUUUGUUUGUAUCCUCUUUUAUUUCCUUGAGCAGUGGUUUGUAGUUAUCCUUGAAGAGGUUCUUCACAUCCCUUGUAAGUUGGAUUCCUAGGUAUUUUAUUCUCUUUGAAGCAAUUGUGAAUGGGAGUUCACUCAUGAUUUGGCUCUCUGUUUGUCUGUUGUUAGUGUAUAAGAAUGCUUGUGAUUUUUGUACAUUGAUUUUGUAUCCUGAGACUUUGCUGAAGUUGCUUAUCAGCUUAAGGAGAUUUUGGGCUGAGACAAUGGGGUUUUCUAGAUAUACAAUCAUGUCAUCUGCAAACAGGGACAAUUUGACUUCCUCUUUUCCUAAUUGAAUACCCUUUAUUUCCUUGUCCUGCCUAAUUGCCCUGGCCAGAACUUCCAACACUAUGUUGAAUAGGAGUGGUGAAAGAGGACAUCCCUGUCUUGUGCCAGUUUUCACAGGGAAUGCUUCCAGUUUUUGCCCAUUCAGUAUGAUAUUGGCUGUGGGUUUGUCAUAGAUAGCUCUUAUUAUUUUGACAUACGUCCCAUCAAUACCUAAUUUAUUGAGAGUUUUUAGCAUGAAGCGUUGUUGAAUUUUGUCAAAGGCCUUUUCUGCAUCUAUUGAGAUAAUCAUGUGGUUUUUGUCUUUGGUUCUGUUUAUAUGCUGGAUUACAUUUAUUGAUUUGUGUAUAUUGAACCAGCCUUGCAUCCCAGGGAUGAAGCCCACUUGAUCAUGGUGGAUAAGCUUUUUGAUGUGCUGCUGGAUUCGGUUUGCCAGUAUUUUAUUGAGGAUUUUUGCAUCAAUGUUCAUCAGGGAUAUUGGUCGAAAAUUCUCUUUUUUGGUUGUAUCUCUGCCCGGCUUUGGUAUCAGGAUGAUGCUGGCCUCAUAAAAUGAGUUAGGGAGUAUUCCCUCUUUUUCUAUUGAUUGGAAUAUCACCAAGUCCAUCCUAAGCCAAAAGAACAAAGCUGGAGGCAUCACACUACCUGACUUCAAACUAUACUACAAGGCUACAGUAACCAAAACAGCAUGGUACUGGUACCAAAACAGAGAUAUAGAUCAAUGGAACAGAACAGAGCCCUCAGAAAUAACACCGCAUAUCUACAAUUAUCUGAUCUUUGACAAACCUGACAAAAACAAGCAAUGGGGAAAGGAUUCCCUAUUUAAUAAAUGGUGCUGGGAAAACUGGCUAGCCAUAUGUAGAAAGCUGAAACUGGAUCCCUUCCUUACACCUUAUACAAAAAUCAAUUCAAGAUGGAUUAAAGACUUAAACGUUAGACCUAAAACCAUAAAAACCCUAGAAGAAAACCUAGGCAUUACCAUUCAGGACAUAGGCAUAGGCAAGGACUUCAUGUCUAAAACACCAAAAGCAGUGGCAACAAAAGCCAAAAUUGACAAACGGGAUCUAAUUAAGCUAAAGAGCCUCUGCACAGCAAAAGAAACUACCAUCAGAGUGAACAGGCAACCUACAAAAUGGGAGAAAAUUUUCGCAACCUACUCAUCUGACAAAGGGCUAAUAUCCAGAAUCUACAAUGAACUCAAACAAAUUUACAAGAAAAAAACAAACAACCCCACCAAAAAGUGGGUGAAGGACAUGAACAGACACUUUUCAAAAGAAGACAUUUAUGCAGCCAAAAAACACAUGAAAAAAUGCUCACCAUCACUGGCCAUCAGAGAAAUGCAAAUCAAAACC